GCGGGCGUAGCCAAGUGGUAAGGCAGCAGACUGUGACUCUGCCACUCGCGGGUUCAAAUCCCGUCGUUCGCC
This 72-nucleotide transfer RNA is filed under the name Elliptochloris bilobata. RNAcentral's name for it is "tRNA-His". It matches the Rfam family "tRNA". From Rfam's summary of the family: Transfer RNA (tRNA) molecules are approximately 80 nucleotides in length. Lineage: Eukaryota; Viridiplantae; Chlorophyta; Trebouxiophyceae. The record is from RNAcentral.